RNAcentral lists this ribosomal RNA (252 nucleotides) under uncultured bacterium. RNAcentral's name for it is "partial 16S ribosomal RNA". It matches the Rfam family "Bacterial small subunit ribosomal RNA", at positions 524 to 776 of the family's 1533-position model. The record is from RNAcentral.
UACGUAGGUGGCGAGCGUUGUCCGGAUUUACUGGGCGUAAAGGGUGCGUAGGUGGUUUCUUAAGUCAGAGGUGAAAGGCUACGGCUCAACCGUAGUAAGCCUUUGAAACUGGGGAACUUGAGUGCAGGAGAGGAGAGUGGAUUUCCUAGUGUAGCGGUGAAAUGCGUAGAUAUUAGGAGGAACACCAGUUGCGAAGGCGGCUCUCUGGACUGUAACUGACACUGAGGCACGAAAGCGUGGGGAGCAAACAGG